Molecule: small RNA, 918 nt
Filed under: Pongo abelii (Sumatran orangutan)
Lineage: Eukaryota; Metazoa; Chordata; Mammalia; Primates; Hominidae
Description: retained intron
Source: RNAcentral
GGCCCACUGCCUGAUGAUGAUGACAUGGCUUCUCCCAAACUCAAGCUGAGUAGGAAGAGUGGCAUUUCUCCUAAAAAAUCAAAAUACAUGACUCCAAUGCAGCAGAAACUAAAUGAGGUCUAUGAAGCUGUAAAGAACUAUACUGAUAAGAGGGGUCGCCGCCUCAGUGCCAUAUUUCUGAGGCUUCCCUCUAGAUCUGAGUUGCCUGACUACUAUCUGACUAUUAAAAAGCCCAUGGACAUGGAAAAAAUUCGAAGUCACAUGAUGGCCAACAAGUACCAAGAUAUUGACUCUAUGGUUGAGGACUUUGUCAUGAUGUUUAAUAAUGCCUGUACAUACAAUGAGCCUGAGUCUUUGAUCUACAAAGAUGCUCUUGUUCUACACAAAGUCCUGCUUGAAACACGCAGAGACCUGGAGGGAGAUGAGGACUCUCAUGUCCCAAAUGUGACUUUGCUGAUUCAAGAGCUUAUCCACAAUCUUUUUGUGUCAGUCAUGAGUCAUCAGGAUGAUGAGGGAAGAUGCUACAGUGAUUCUUUAGCAGAAAUUCCUGCUGUGGAUCCCAACUUUCCUAACAAACCACCCCUUACAUUUGACAUAAUUAGGAAGAAUGUUGAAAAUAAUCGCUACCGGCGGCUUGAUUUAUUUCAAGAGCAUAUGUUUGAAGUAUUGGAACGAGCAAGAAGGAUGAAUCGGUAUGUUUUCAAAGCCAGUUUCAUUUUGAGGAUGUGUGCUAUUUAAUACAAAACAGAUGAAAGAAUAUUGCUUUGAUGUACUAUUUCCACUUACAUACGUGAUUGUAGUUGGUAGCAUGCUAUUCUGAAUUCUAAUUAGCCAGAACUUCUUAAGAGUGAGUAUAUUCUGUGGGGGAGAGAAGGCACACCACUAAGUCAUCUAGUUUAAGGCCAGUGAGGAGGAAGA